GAUGAACGCUGGCGGCGUGCUUAACACAUGCAAGUCGAACGGAAAGGCCCAAGCUUGCUUGGGUACUCGAGUGGCGAACGGGUGAGUAACACGUGGGUGAUCUGCCCUGCACUUCGGGAUAAGCCUGGGAAACUGGGUCUAAUACCGGAUAGGACGAUGGUUUGGAUGCCAUUGUGGAAAGUUUUUUCGGUGUGGGAUGAGCUCGCGGCCUAUCAGCUUGUUGGUGGGGUAAUGGCCUACCAAGGCGUCGACGGGUAGCCGGCCUGAGAGGGUGUACGGCCACAUUGGGAGUGAGAUACGGCCCAGACUCCUACGGGAGGCAGCAGUGGGGAAUAUUGCACAAUGGGCGCAAGCCUGAGGCAGCGACGCCGCGUGGGGGAUGACGGCCUUCGGGUUGUAAACUCCUUUCGCUAGGGACGAAGCGUUUUUGUGACGGUACCUGGAGAAGAAGCACCGGCUAACUACGUG
RNAcentral lists this ribosomal RNA (468 nucleotides) under uncultured bacterium. RNAcentral's name for it is "partial 16S ribosomal RNA". It matches the Rfam family "Bacterial small subunit ribosomal RNA", at positions 28 to 507 of the family's 1533-position model. The record is from RNAcentral.